Molecule: ribosomal RNA, 396 nt
Filed under: uncultured bacterium
Lineage: Bacteria
Description: partial 16S ribosomal RNA
Rfam family: Bacterial small subunit ribosomal RNA
Source: RNAcentral
AUACGUAGGGGGCGAGCGUUGUCCGGAAUGAUUGGGCGUAAAGGGCGUGUAGGCGGAGAUGCAAGUCAGGAGUGAAAUCUAGGGGCUCAACCCCUAAACUGCUUUUGAAACUGUAUCCCUUGAGUAUCGGAGAGGCAGGCGGAAUUCCUAGUGUAGCGGUGAAAUGCGUAGCGAAUAGGAGGAACACCAGUGGCGAAGGCGGCCUGCUGGACGAAAACUGACGCUGAGUCGCGAAAGCGUGGGUAGCAAACAGGAUUAGAUACCCUGGUAGUCCACGCUGGAAACGAUGAAUACUAGGUGUGGGGGGACUGACCCCCUCCGUGCCGCAGGUAACACAAUAAGUAUUCCACCUGGGGAGUUCGAUCGCAAGAUUGAAACUCAAAUGAAUUGGCGGGG